CUGGCUGUUGGGGUGGAGGCAGCGGCAGAACUGUGUUCUGGAAGAUGGGAACAGCUGCGGUUACCGACAUUUUGCUCCUGUACGUGCGAGAAGGCCGGUUUCGGAUCGAGGAGAGGACGCUGACGGCUUUCCAGUGGCUGUACUCGCCCCACCAGCACCGCAUCGUCAGCCGGGCCGACCUGGGCUCGCCCAGCAGGAUCGACAAGACGAUGCUCGCCAGCCUGAAGAUCAAGUGACAGGAGCUGGUG
Molecule: long non-coding RNA, 248 nt
Organism: Athene cunicularia (burrowing owl)
Lineage: Eukaryota; Metazoa; Chordata; Aves; Strigiformes; Strigidae
Exons: 4
Source: RefSeq, a predicted model, not a curated record